AACAUUGGAGGAGGAAGUAAAUUCGAGCUGGACCGGGAAGGACGAAAUGGUGAACCUAUGUCAGCAAUGCGCACCAGGUUGAGAAGGCCGCAGGCGUUCUUAGGAGGUAACAGGUUCAGACUUAACGGUGUAAUACCCCCACUAUCUUUAGCAUUUCUUCUACUGUCGUCGGUCUCCUCGGUCAAGGACACGCUGAAUCAGAAUAUAUAGACUUACCGCAAAAUGGAACCCCUUCCGGUGUCCAAGAGCCAUCAAUCUGACACUGUCUCCGCGCAGGACCAAGGAGUUCAAACCCACGUUCGCAAGAAUACGUAGCCACUGUGCCCUCGGGCAGUAUCGUGUCCUUUAGAAGAGCAUCCUCUUCGUCUAUAACGUCUUCGGCACCUGUUCCUGUGAACCGAACGCUACUAUGUGCAGGAGCCCCAGGGUAACCGCAUCCGGCACCGUUGCAGCCUGUAAUUCAAUACAAAGACACGAUCAUUAUCAAGUAACUGACAGCGGUUAUCAGACUUUAAUGUGUUAAACAGUAAUGUAAACGCGGAUGACCUAA
Molecule: unclassified non-coding RNA, 550 nt
Filed under: Bombus terrestris (buff-tailed bumblebee)
Lineage: Eukaryota; Metazoa; Arthropoda; Insecta; Hymenoptera; Apidae
Description: misc RNA ENSBTSG00005031062.1
Source: RNAcentral